Synchiropus splendidus (mandarinfish) is the source of this 3390-nucleotide RNA transcript. It is a transcript of the gene named tRNA methyltransferase 44 homolog, with no coding region annotated. The transcript is spliced from 11 exons. The record is from RefSeq and is a predicted model, not a curated record. Lineage: Eukaryota; Metazoa; Chordata; Actinopteri; Syngnathiformes; Callionymidae.
UAGACUUCCAUUUAAAAACACAUGUCGUAUAUGGAGCCUGUGACAUGCCGAAACAGUUUGAGUUAAAGUGUACCGGUGAGUCCAAGAGACCUUCUGAAGGAUUCUGGGCCGCUGUGGACGUCUGGAUACAGAAACCUCAUGUCGUGAACAAACGCCUGUGUGGUGUUAAACUCUCAGAGACUAAAGAGACCCACAGAGAUGAACUGAGAUUUGUCCUCGGUGAUGGAUGCGAAUCCGAACUCACCCAGGAUGUGCUUGACUUCUUAUCGGCUGCACCUUCAUCUUCAAAGACGCUUAGAGAACCCAAACCCCUCUGCUCCACUGUCAGGACUUUCAUUCCGAAAGUGAACGGUGAUGGGACUGUCGCUCACAGAGAGCUUGUAUUGAAAGACUUUGACCAGCAGAAGGUGACCUUUAUCCCAUUUGAGGAGCACAACGGUGGGCGGGUUUCUGUGAAGAAGGGUAACAUCUAUCUGAUCCAGCUGCUUCUUCAGGAGAGCGAGGAAUGGGUGUUGGAACUGCAUGUCCUGUCCCCUGACGCCUGGUUUUCUGACAAUGUGGUCUACCCUAAACUACGGUGGCUGUCUUCAGACCUCCUUCCAAAACUGAUGCGCUGGACCACAGAAUCCAAGAAGAGUGAAUUCACCAGCACGUUGUCUCUGCUGCCAGUGGAGAAGUACAGCAUCACCUAUCAGCAUCUGAAGGAAAAGUAUAAAACGAUGGUCCAGGUUUGGCCAGAGGUGACAGACCCUGAGAAGUUUGUGUACGAAGAUGUUGCUAUAGCUACAUACCUGCUGGUGCUGUGGUCUGAGGAGCGGUCUGAGAAAGAUCUGACCACCAGACAGACCUUUGUGGAUCUGGGCUGUGGGAAUGGUCUGCUGGUUCACAUCCUGACUAAUGAAGGGCACCCAGGAAAAGGCAUAGACUUGAGGAAAAGGAAGAUCUGGAGCAUGUACGGCCCUCACACUCUGCUUGAGGAAAAGGCAAUUACUCCCAGUGAGAGCUCCUUGUUCCCAGAUACCGACUGGUUGAUUGGGAACCACUCGGACGAGCUCACGCCGUGGAUCCCCGUCAUGGUUUGCAGGUCGUCUUACGACUGCAGAUACUUCCUCCUCCCCUGCUGCUUCUUUGACUUCUUCUGCAAGUUCCAGAGGCGUCAGUGUAAGAAAACCCAGUACAGGUUGUACAUCGACUUCAUCUCUGAGGUCAGCCAGGCGUGUGGCUUCAACACCCAGGAGGACUGUUUGAGAAUCCCCUCCACCAAACGGGUUUGUCUGGUUGGGAAAUCCAGGAAUUAUCAGAAGCCCGAUGAGGCUGCGGCUGAUAGACGGAGGUCUGCCUUCAUCCAUAGUCGCCAGCCCUCGACUGGACAGAGAGUACAAGGGUCAGAUGUUGAGAUUGACUGUUGCCAUGGGAGCACCCUCUCCGGCACGAACGGCGGGAUCAGCUGGGGUGCUGGGUUUCAGCCACGAGAGAGAGUUGAGGUGGUUCGAAACUGUUCGGCGCUCCCCAGAGACUUUGUUGAUGCCAUCGUACUGCGGGUGGCUAAUGUGCUUCUGGAAUUGACUGCAGAGGACGGCUGGGAGUCUUCCACUCACUGGAACCCUGGAGGUAAACUCAUAAAAACACUCGAAAUGUGAAAACAAAACUGUUCAAGAAACGCUGAAAUGGCCAAAUUGAGCGAAAAUAGAAUUUUGACUGAAUAAUCUCAAUGGUGAGCAGUGAACAGCUGGCAGUCUUGAUUUCAGUGAUGGAUCAAGAGAGGCUGCUGCUGGAUAACACCCAACUGUCUCCUUCCCCAUCAAAAGCCAUCAAGCCUCCUGAAAAAUCCCACCCGCUGAGUAGCUCCUCAGAACUCCUCAGCUUUCUUUUCCCUUACUUUUUGUGAACUUCUGUGUUUGACACGUCUAGAUUGUGACAUGGUUACCUGUUAGGUCACCAUCUACCCUGCCAGUGUCAGCUCAUAGAGCGUCAUGACUCAGGCGCUGCUUGGAAGCCCACCUGCGCUGCGUGGCACUAUGUACCCUGAGAUUAAGAGAGGAGGGGCAUCAUGAUUAAAAUGGAACACUCUCUGUCAGGAUGUCAGGAAAUAUGACGGAGCAGCAGUAGCGGCUUGUGUGAGCGUGUACCAAGAUGGCUGGAUGAAUAAUGCACCAGAAGCAAUGAUUAAUGCAUGAGUGAGCGUUUGUAUGGUUUGCAGUUAUGUGCUGUGUAAGAACAAAGAGAAGAGUCGGAGCCACCAUGCUGACAGACCCGGAGUCAGCUCGAGCGCUUUGAACACGAGUGAGGAGCAUUGUUGUAGAUUCCUGGUUGGCACUGAUGCUUCCAACUUGAACGUUAACUUUUAAUCUCCACUCAGCAUUUCUUCUCUUCCACUAACACCCAAGCAAAAACAAAAACAACAACAACAACAAUGCAUCAUUCUGCCUUAAACAAACUCCGUUUGGAGCCAUUAAUAAUGGUCUGCUCCAGGGGCACUUUGUCAAUAGCAACCUCUUCCCAUUAAUCCCCAUUAAAAUUGCAGCAGUGAAGGACAGUGCAGUGUGUUGUAUUGAUAGUAUAUUAGGGCACUUAACUCGCUGGUGUCUCAGUGUUCAUUCAGCCUGGACACUUCCAAUCUGCUGCUCCAGGUGUGUUCCAUUUUGUUGCAUAUUUUCUGGAAAACACCGCCCCCCCACACUUUCAUCUGUUAUACUUGUGUGAAGUUCUUUUACAAUAUAAACAGUUAAAGAACUAAAAAAUGUGAUAGAAAAAACUGAAGAAGCCAAGUUGACAUCGAGUAAGCUUCCUCAUUCUGCAACGGUGUGACCUCUCAGACGUCCAUCAGGAUGGGCUCAGUGUAUCGCCGGCCUGCUCAAACCAACAGCAGCAGCAGUUUCUGCAGUUUCUGUCGAGACAUUUACUGAUCAGGCAUCAUCAGUACCUUUUUGGUACGCUUAGGUGACUGACUAUCUGAUGUUGUUCCUGCAUCCAAAUGUGCUCCCCUACCAGGAGAGUGGCAACAGUGAGUCAGAGGCAGCUGUGGGAGAUUCAGCACGGGAGUUCCUGCUGGUUCCCCUGACAGCCUGUGGGGGCACUUUUUAAAUCGAACUCACUUCACACAGGCAUUUCACUCGGCGGAGGCAGCGGUUGUGACCGUCAAUACCUUUCUGAAAUGGCGUAAUUCAGUCUUCACGGUGAGGACACAUUGACGUGUUGAUGAAAAGGUCACAUGGAUCUGUCUUGUCGUCAGGCAGCCUGUCUCUGGGGGAGGUCGCUGCACUGAUGGAGCAGGAAACCCUGCAGUGCCUGAAGAGGGAAUGUGGAGGUCUUCAGACGCUCCUCAAGAACAACCACCACGUGUUUCGCGUUGAGAAGGGACGCGUGCACAUCAGGGAUUGGAGGGACGUG